ACUCAAAGGAAUUGACGGGGACCCGCACAAGCGGUGGAGCAUGUGGUCUAAUUUGAAGCAACGCGAAGAACCUUACCUGCUCUUGACAUCCCGGUGACGGCAGAGUAAUGUCUGCUUUUCUUCGGAACACCGGUGACAGGUGGUGCAUGGUUGUCGUCAGCUCGUGUCGUGAGAUGUUGGGUUAAGUCCCGCAACGAGCGCAACCCCUAUCUUCAGUAGCCAGCGGUAAGGCCGGGCACUCUGGAGAGACUGCCAGGGAUAACCUGGAGGAAGGUGGGGAUGACGUCAAAUCAUCAUGCCCCUUAUGAGCAGGGCUACACACGUGCUACAAUGGCGUAAACAAAGGGAAGCGAACCCGCGAGGGUGGGCAAAUCCCAAAAAUAACGUCUCAGUUCGGAUUGUAGUCUGCAACUCGACUACAUGAAGCUGGAAUCGCUAGUAAUCGCGAAUCAGAAUGUCGCGGUGAAUACGUUCCCGGGUCUUGUACACACCGCCCGUCACACCAUGGGAGUCAGUAACGCCCGAAGUCAGUGACCCAACCGUAAGGAGGGAGCUGCCGAAGGUGGGACCGAUAACUG
RNAcentral lists this ribosomal RNA (578 nucleotides) under uncultured organism. Its description in RNAcentral is "SSU rRNA". It matches the Rfam family "Bacterial small subunit ribosomal RNA", at positions 899 to 1477 of the family's 1533-position model. The record is from RNAcentral.